GAUAACGUGGCCGAGUGGUUAAGGCGAUGGACUGCUAAUCCAUUUCCCUAGGGAGCGAGAGUUCGAAUCUCUCCGUUAUCG
Non-coding RNA from Gracilariopsis chorda, 81 nucleotides. NCBI's taxonomy places the organism in Eukaryota, Rhodophyta, Florideophyceae, Gracilariales, Gracilariaceae. The record is from the annotation of a GenBank genome assembly.